RNAcentral lists this ribosomal RNA (777 nucleotides) under uncultured Neocallimastigales. RNAcentral describes it as "partial large subunit ribosomal RNA". It matches the Rfam family "Eukaryotic large subunit ribosomal RNA", at positions 22 to 635 of the family's 3401-position model. Lineage: Eukaryota; Fungi; Neocallimastigomycota; Neocallimastigomycetes; Neocallimastigales. The record is from RNAcentral.
GUACACGCUGUGACUAGCAUAUCAAUAAGCGGAGGAAAAGAAACUAACAAGGAUUCCCCUAGUAACGGCGAGUGAAGCGGGAAGAGCUCAAAUUUGAAAUCUUAAAGGGUUUCCCUUUACGAAUUGUAGUUUAAAGAAGUGUUUUCUGUUGAGGUUUUGGUAAAAGUUCUUUGGAAUAGGACAUCAUAGAGGGUGAGAAUCCCGUAUUUGACCUUUACUUUCAACUUUGUGAUACACUUUCAAAGAGUCGGAUUGUUUGGGAAUGCAGUCCAAAAUGGGUGGUAAACUUCAUCUAAAGCUAAAUAUUGGCGAGAGACCGAUAGCGAACAUGUACCGUGAGGGAAAGAUGAAAAGAACUUUGAAAAGAGAGUUAAACAGUACGUGAAAUUGUCAAAAGGGAAGCGUUUGACACCAGUGUUGUUUUUCUGAAAAUCAAUUCAAAGAACUGUUUAUGCUAAGCUUGUUUAGACUUUAUCAGCUAUCUGUUUAGUUUUGAGCUUUUCUUUAAUGCACUUUUCAGUUAACAAGUCAACAUCAAUUUCUUUUGCUGUAAAAAAGCUUGAGGAAGGUGGCUUGAGAUUCGUCUUAAGUGUUUAUAGCCUCUUGCCUAUGCAGUCGGAGAGAUUGAGGUCUGCAGCGUAGAUCCUUCGGGGCUAGAUGCAUUUGUGCUAAGUUAUAGCAUUUUAUAGACAACUUGUUGACUAUGACUUCGUCUUGUAGCUUACUCGCUUAUGUUAUUUUACCUACGCUUAGGAUGUUGAAGAUGUAGCACAUCAU